Molecule: non-coding RNA, 87 nt
Organism: Triticum aestivum (bread wheat)
Lineage: Eukaryota; Viridiplantae; Streptophyta; Magnoliopsida; Poales; Poaceae
Source: Rfam
GCUUGCCUGGCUCCCUGAAUGCCAUCCGGGAAGCGCGCCACUGUGGGAGGCGUCCCUCCUGGUUGGCAUUGAGGGAGUCAAGCAGGC